This 380-nucleotide ribosomal RNA is filed under the name Myoxocephalus stelleri (Steller's sculpin). RNAcentral describes it as "partial 16S ribosomal RNA". It matches the Rfam family "Bacterial large subunit ribosomal RNA", at positions 165 to 839 of the family's 2925-position model. Lineage: Eukaryota; Metazoa; Chordata; Actinopteri; Perciformes; Cottidae. The record is from RNAcentral.
AUGCCCAACAGCUAGCCCACCUAAACAAUUUCAACAAACCCUUGUUAAUAACCCCUAAAUACCCUAGUAUUUAAAUUAAACAAACCAUUUUUCCCCCUUAGUAUAGGCGAUAGAAAAGGGACUACGGCGCAAUAGAGAAAGUACCGCAAGGGAACGCUGAAAGAGAAAUGAAAUAACCCAGUAAAGCCCAAAAAAGCAGAGAUUUAACCUCGUACCUUUUGCAUCAUGAUUUAGCGAGUGUACCCCAAGCAAAGAGCACUUUAGUUUGACGUCCCGAAACUACGUGAGCUACUCCAAGACAGCCUAUUAAUAGGGCACACCCGUCUCUGUUGCAAAAGAGUGGGGAGAGCUUUGAGUAGAGGUGACAAACCUACCGAACC